CUGAGAAUCUGUUAUUUUCAUGAUACUGCGUUGCACUUAACCGCUCAGAGGAAUACAAAGAUCUGUAAGACUACCAGAGCCUGUCCUCAAAAAGCUAACAGCUUUUUGGUAAGAGGCUCCUGACUGAACGAAGUAGGCAACAGCACCUGAUCACCAGGACCCAAGGUCUCAGCAAGAUGGUACACCUGUGCCAAGGUGGAGACAGUGAUUAGUUGAGUUUUCAGAGCCUUUGCUGCUGCCUAGAAUUCUGGGCGCCCAAGCAUUGGGUGAGUGUCAGAACUGAGCAUAGAUAUUCACCUUCAGAGAAGAAUGCAGUUUCUUCAUUCUCCAUGGGAAGAGAAAUUCAUAGAUUUGUUAAAGACCAGUUAGAGCUCCAUUCAGAUCUUGUGAAGGCUUCAGGGGGCUUUUGAUGGGGAUACUGAAAUGAGGUGGUAAACGGGGGGGGGUAUUUAUUUUUUUACUCUUCUGCCCUAUUUUAUGAAUGAGAAACCUGAGGCUGACUCAAGGUUACGCUGCUGCUAAGGACAGAAUCAGGAUUUAAGCCUAGCACUUGUGACUCUAGAGCCUGCUGUCUUAAUUUUUAUAAUCCAUUCCUUUCUCAUUGCAGGUUAUAGUCUAAUUGUCACCUGCUACUUGUGGAAGGAAGAGAUGUUUGGCAUGGCACUGAUCAAUGUGUAUAUUUACUGGGAAGUUUACCCCAGGAGAAAAGAGAAAACCAGCUGUGUGAAUGGAAUUUGGAGAAAGCUCCUUGAUUUGAGGAAGACUGAACAAUGAAGGGACAUUCUCUGUGGCCAACUCUGGGUUGCAGAAGUGUCUCAAUAAAACAAAACAAAUAAAAAGCCA
This 843-nucleotide long non-coding RNA is filed under the name Felis catus (domestic cat). RNAcentral's name for it is "lncRNA (ENSFCAG00000046904.1)". Lineage: Eukaryota; Metazoa; Chordata; Mammalia; Carnivora; Felidae. The record is from RNAcentral.